CCUCGACCCCUUCCUGCCGCUCCACCUCUUGCCGCCGAGCCUCCUCCCGGUCCCGCUGCUCCCCUCCGCACACGCCUCCUCCCCCAAGGCGCUCUUCCGCAUCCUGCGCCGCGCGCGGCACCACCCGCGCCUACCGCCGCUCGACCUCCAACUCCAACUCGCGGCAACCGACGCCUCCUCUGCCUUCCGCGCCAACCCCCGGCUACCCUCUUCGUUCGGCUCGGCGGCCAGACUCCCGUCAGACGCCUCUUCGGCAGGACCGAUGGCCCGGCUCUCAUCUGCAUUCGGCACGGCGGCCGAGACCUCGUUUUACGGCCCUCCGGCAGGACCUAGUUUGCAGGAAACCAUCCGGCGAUGUCCAGUCUGAUUCCACUGCCGAUUGUGAAGCAAGGAAGCUCCUGAUGACAAGUCGAUGUGAAUUUUUAGUAGGGGAAACAUCUAGAUACGAACCAUUGGAUAGGUUUAUUAUCUUAUUAGAAUUGUUGAUUUUCUUGAUAUAGCAUGCACAUAUGCAUGGGUACGGUACUGCUAUCGCUCAGACUAUGGAGAGCAAUCCAUGAUUCAGGUUGAGUUAUUCAUGAAUGAUUUUUUUCCGGUUUAUACCAGUUGCGAGCACCAUUGAUACACACCUAUCCAUCCAGGCGGGCAAUGCUCAGUUUUGUUUUCAUGUAAGUAUUUUCCCUGCUGUGAUCAGAUACUACCGCUGGUGGAAGCUGUGGGAUUUCCUUGCAGUGUGCAAGAUGAACCUCUGUAUCAGUGGCGGCAAUGUUCCCGUCAGCAAGAGAAGUUUUGAUCUACUUCCACCAGCAGUCCAUUGGGGGAUCUCUUUGUGGCUAUUAUCUAUCAGCCUGCCAAUAUUGUACGUAUUUGUUUAGCAAUUGUAGACUGCAGGAUGGGUGAAGCAGAAGCUUAAUUAAGUUGAGGAAUGGCAUCCAAGAUUUACCCCCUUCACAGUGAGAGCCCUUCACAUACAACUUGGGGUGUCAGCUCUGUUUACUGGUAUUGACGUAGUCUUUGUUGACAUAGCUGGAGAGCAUGAAUGCAGAAGUGGAGAAAGUUUAAACUGAUACAAGAGUCCUAGAAAAAAGAUUUGAGAAGUAACUAUUUUGACUUUCGUCAUAAUUCUAGCAGAUGAACCCCUAUUGUACUACGUGUUUAUAUCCAACCCAUAAGUAGUACGCAUGGACACACCUAAAAUGAAAUUUGGCUUUACGCUAAAUGAAACAAAUCACCUUGGGUUUGGAACAUACAUGUACCUGAUGCUCACGUGUGAUAUUUGUUGUCUCAUGAGAUACUUGAUUAUUUGUAAUUACCUAAUAUUACUGGUGAUGGGUCAUGUAGUCUAGGCCCUGAUAGAAAACGAUCUGUGAUCGUUUUGCAUAACAGUGAUUUUUUCCUUCUCAUUUAUGGUUAUAUGUAGAUCAUAUAGGGUAAGGUUCUCGGAAGUAUGUGUACAGUUAGCUUAUG
This is a long non-coding RNA of Triticum dicoccoides, 1467 nucleotides long. RefSeq lists it as uncharacterized. NCBI's taxonomy places the organism in Eukaryota, Viridiplantae, Streptophyta, Magnoliopsida, Poales, Poaceae. The record is from RefSeq and is a predicted model, not a curated record. The transcript is spliced from 3 exons.